RNAcentral lists this ribosomal RNA (970 nucleotides) under Bacillus licheniformis. Its description in RNAcentral is "bacterial SSU rRNA". It matches the Rfam family "Bacterial small subunit ribosomal RNA", at positions 532 to 1488 of the family's 1533-position model. The record is from RNAcentral. Lineage: Bacteria; Bacillati; Bacillota; Bacilli; Caryophanales; Bacillaceae.
GGAGGGACGGUGUUCCGGAAUAUUGGGCGUAAGCGCGCGCAGGCGGUUUCUUAAGUCUGAUGUGAAAGCCCCCGGCUCAACCGGGGAGGGUCAUUGGAAACUGGGGAACUUGAGUGCAGAAGAGGAGAGUGGAAUUCCACGUGUAGCGGUGAAAUGCGUAGAGAUGUGGAGGAACACCAGUGGCGAAGGCGACUCUCUGGUCUGUAACUGACGCUGAGGCGCGAAAGCGUGGGGAGCGAACAGGAUUAGAUACCCUGGUAGUCCACGCCGUAAACGAUGAGUGCUAAGUGUUAGAGGGUUUCCGCCCUUUAGUGCUGCAGCAAACGCAUUAAGCACUCCGCCUGGGGAGUACGGUCGCAAGACUGAAACUCAAAGGAAUUGACGGGGGCCCGCACAAGCGGUGGAGCAUGUGGUUUAAUUCGAAGCAACGCGAAGAACCUUACCAGGUCUUGACAUCCUCUGACAACCCUAGAGAUAGGGCUUCCCCUUCGGGGGCAGAGUGACAGGUGGUGCAUGGUUGUCGUCAGCUCGUGUCGUGAGAUGUUGGGUUAAGUCCCGCAACGAGCGCAACCCUUGAUCUUAGUUGCCAGCAUUCAGUUGGGCACUCUAAGGUGACUGCCGGUGACAAACCGGAGGAAGGUGGGGAUGACGUCAAAUCAUCAUGCCCCUUAUGACCUGGGCUACACACGUGCUACAAUGGGCAGAACAAAGGGCAGCGAAGCCGCGAGGCUAAGCCAAUCCCACAAAUCUGUUCUCAGUUCGGAUCGCAGUCUGCAACUCGACUGCGUGAAGCUGGAAUCGCUAGUAAUCGCGGAUCAGCAUGCCCGGGGGGAAAAACCUUUCCCGGGGCCUUUGUACACACCCGCCCGGUCAAACCAACGAGAAGUUUGUAACACCCCGAAGUCCGGUGAAGGUAACCUUUUUGGAGCCAACCCCCCCAAAGUGGGACAGAUAAUUGGGUGAUCAAUAG